UCUUGACUAGUAUAUCGGUUAGUACACGCGCUUGUCAUGCAAUAUGAGGCAAGUUUCGCGCGAAAGCUGGGUUCGACUCCCAGGUCGAGAG
Mycena albidolilacea is the source of this 91-nucleotide non-coding RNA. Lineage: Eukaryota; Fungi; Basidiomycota; Agaricomycetes; Agaricales; Mycenaceae. The record is from the annotation of a GenBank genome assembly.